Molecule: ribosomal RNA, 892 nt
Filed under: Staphylococcus agnetis
Lineage: Bacteria; Bacillati; Bacillota; Bacilli; Caryophanales; Staphylococcaceae
Description: bacterial SSU rRNA
Source: RNAcentral
AGAGUUUGAUUCAUGGCUCAGGAUGAACGCUGGCGGCGUGCCUAAUACAUGCAAGUCGAGCGAACGGACGAGAAGCUUGCUUCUCUGAUGUUAGCGGCGGACGGGUGAGUAACACGUGGAUAACCUACCUAUAAGACUGGGAUAACUUCGGGAAACCGGAGCUAAUACCRGAUAAUAUUUUGAACCGCAUGGUUCAAAAGUGAAAGACGGUCUUGCUGUCACUUAUAGAUGGAUCCGCGCUGCAUUAGCUAGUUGGUAAGGUAACGGCUUACCAAGGCAACGAUGCAUAGCCGACCUGAGAGGGUGAUCGGCCACACUGGAACUGAGACACGGUCCAGACUCCUACGGGAGGCAGCAGUAGGGAAUCUUCCGCAAUGGGCGAAAGCCUGACGGAGCAACGCCGCGUGAGUGAUGAAGGUCUUCGGAUCGUAAAACUCUGUUAUUAGGGAAGAACAUAUGUGUAAGUAACUGUGCACAUCUUGACGGUACCUAAUCAGAAAGCCACGGCUAACUACGUGCCAGCAGCCGCGGUAAUACGUAGGUGGCAAGCGUUAUCCGGAAUUAUUGGGCGUAAAGCGCGCGUAGGCGGUUUUUUAAGUCUGAUGUGAAAGCCCACGGCUCAACCGUGGAGGGUCAUUGGAAACUGGAAAACUUGAGUGCAGAAGAGGAAAGUGGAAUUCCAUGUGUAGCGGUGAAAUGCGCAGAGAUAUGGAGGAACACCAGUGGCGAAGGCGACUUUCUGGUCUGUAACUGACGCUGAUGUGCGAAAGCGUGGGGAUCAAACAGGAUUAGAUACCCUGGUAGUCCACGCCGUAAACGAUGAGUGCUAAGUGUUAGGGGGUUUCCGCCCCUUAGUGCUGCAGCUAACGCAUUAAGCACUCCGCCUGGGGAG